UACGUAGGGUGCAAGCGUUAAUCGGAAUUACUGGGCGUAAAGCGUGCGCAGGCGGUUUUGUAAGUCUGGCGUGAAAUCCCCGGGCUCAACCUGGGAAUUGCGUUGGAGACUGCAAGGCUGGAGUCUGGCAGAGGGGGGUAGAAUUCCACGUGUAGCAGUGAAAUGCGUAGAGAUGUGGAGGAACACCGAUGGCGAAGGCAGCCCCCUGGGUCAAGACUGACGCUCAUGCACGAAAGCGUGGGGAGCAAACAGG
Molecule: ribosomal RNA, 253 nt
Filed under: uncultured bacterium
Lineage: Bacteria
Description: partial 16S ribosomal RNA
Rfam family: Bacterial small subunit ribosomal RNA
Source: RNAcentral